AUUGAACGCUGGCGGCAUGCCUUACACAUGCAAGUCGAACGGCAGCACGUGUGCUUGCACCUGGUGGCGAGUGGCGAACGGGUGAGUAAUACAUCGGAACAUGUCCUGUAGUGGGGGAUAGCCCGUCGAAAGCCGGAUUAAUACCGCAUACGAUCUACGGAUGAAAGCGGGGGACCUUCGGGCCUCGCGCUUUGGGGUUGGCCGAUGGCUGAUUAGCUAGUUGGUGGGGUAAAGGCCUACCAAGGCGACGAUCAGUAGCUGGUCUGAGAGGACGACCAGACACACUGGGACUGAGACACGGCCCAGACUCCUACGGGAGGCAGCAGUGGGGAAUUUUGGACAAUGGGCGAAAGCCUGAUCCAGCAAUGCCGCGUGUGUGAAGAAGGCCUUCGGGUUGUAAAGCACUUUUGUCCGGAAAGAAAUACUUGGCCCUAAUACGGUCGGGGGAUGACGGUACCGGAAGAAUAAGCACCGGCUAACUACGUG
Molecule: ribosomal RNA, 486 nt
Filed under: uncultured bacterium
Lineage: Bacteria
Description: partial 16S ribosomal RNA
Rfam family: Bacterial small subunit ribosomal RNA
Source: RNAcentral